This 826-nucleotide long non-coding RNA is filed under the name Vigna radiata. RNAcentral describes it as "long non-coding RNA (VRAD_LNC003465)". Lineage: Eukaryota; Viridiplantae; Streptophyta; Magnoliopsida; Fabales; Fabaceae. The record is from RNAcentral.
UAGGAAUGCUUUCACGGUGAUUAAUUGUGAGAGACGAAACUUUACUCAUUUGCUUGGAGAUGAAUAGGAGUUGUCACAUCAUGAGGUUUUCUUUUAUUUUGUUCAUGGAAGAGAAGGAUUUUUACAUUCCAUUAGUUGGGAAGCAUUGAAUACCAACGACUGCAAGGAGGACCAUUCGAGUUGCUUUUGGAGCUUUGGAUGCACCGGUUUCAACCACUUUGAGGAGAGAGAAGGUUUUCUUUUUUUUGGCAAGGUAGAAGAUGUAAAAGUCAAACGUUCUUGGGAUUUGUUUCACCAUUUUGUUGUUUAAUCAAGUUGCUUUCCUAGGGAAUGGAAUAAAGUUCAUGGUCAUUGCCUUUGAAGAAAGAGAAUGAAAUGGAAUUUGGUGAAAGGGUGUCUCGGCAAAGUGGUUUUGUAGAAGAAGAAAAGUUUUUUUUCUUUACUCUUUGGUAGCAAGGAUUUAACUCAACUCUUGGGAGGAGAGAGGAAUUAAUUUUCUUCACUUUGAAGCCUUGGGAGGUCACGUGAUUUGAUGGAGGAAAACCAUAUUCACUCAUUUCUUUGCUUUAAAAUAUUUGGCAUAGUAUAUUGAGUUGUGUUUCAUUUUUUUAGUUUAGUGUUGCAUUUAAAUAAUUUUAAUUGUGCUAGAUAAUUGUUUGUUGCAUUGUUGGGGCCUAGUAUUUUAUUUUAUUUUGUCUUAAUGUUAUCUUGUAUUUGUAGUAGUGUUACUUUAAUUACCAUGCUAGCUUAAAUUAGUUUCUUUGCAUAUGUGUUUUUAUUGAGUUCUUUAAUUUUUGCAAAACCUUUUCAAAACCCCCCCUUCGUG